Dunckerocampus dactyliophorus (ringed pipefish) is the source of this 1386-nucleotide long non-coding RNA. RefSeq lists it as uncharacterized. Lineage: Eukaryota; Metazoa; Chordata; Actinopteri; Syngnathiformes; Syngnathidae. The transcript has 4 exons. The record is from RefSeq and is a predicted model, not a curated record.
AGUCGCCAUGUUGUUUCACCCAAAACAAGAACGCCACAGAACUGAGAGUUCGAGAUGCCGUCUUGUGCUGCUAUUAAUUGCACAAAUCGUGAUACUCGUGAAAAUCGCGAGGGACUUACAUUUCACAGAUGUCCACACUGCAAUGUUCAACUUCUAAAGCAAUGGGUAGUAAAUAUACAGAGAGACAGGUGGAUUCCUGCAGCCAGAUCGCAACUCUGUUCAAGUCAUUUCACCGAGGAGAACUUGGACAGGACCGGCCAGACUGUUAGAUUAUGACAAAAUGCAGUUCCAACAAUAUUUGAAUUUCCUGAUCAUCUUCUAAAGGGUGGCGCCAUAUCACUUCACACCAUAUCACAUUCUGUCAAUGUCAACUUCCUGGUUUUCACACCAUUCGCGUGUACGUGAUGAAGACUCCCGCAUCUUCUUCCGCUGAAGAACACACGUAAACAAGAUGGCCGCGGCAGAACUGGACUCGUGGGACCAAAUGGCGGGGGGGUUAAGUCACUGUUGAAAUAGUCCACUGCUGGUGGGGAUGUCAUACAACUUCAUGUCAAAAAAUUUGAACUAUCCCUUUAACCAGCUCAUAAACGACUGCAUUUUCCAGUUCACUGGUAAUUGAAUUUAUAUUCCCACCAAGAAUGUUGCAGACAAAAAAUUCAUUCAUUAAGUUCAGGGGUGUCCAAACUUUUUCCAGCGAGGGCCACAUAGUGAAAAAUGAAAGGAUGCAAGGGCCACGAUAUUUUGUAAAGAUAUGCUAAGAAGUAGGGCUGAGCCGGAUACUCGUUUUAGACGAUAAUGCAUUUUUGCCGAGUACGAGCAUGAAGUGAGUACAGCUUGUCUGUACUCGCGCUGAAGGAAAUUCCUAAUUGGGCAACAACUUAUGUCUUCACUCUUCACACUCAACCACCGAUCGAUCUAUGUUCCCACCCUCACCUAUGGUCAUGAGCUUUGGCUAGCUCAGUCAUCCGGGAGGGGCUCAGAGUAGAGCCGCUGCUCCUUCACAUGGAGAGGAGCCAGUUGAGGUGGCUCGGGCAUCUAGUACGGAUGCCUCCCGGAUGCCUCACUGGCGAAGUGUUCCGGGCAUGCCCAGCCGGGAGAAGGCCCUGGGGCAGACCUAGGACACGCUGACGCUGAAGUUUGGGCUUCCCUACUGAAACUGCUGCCCCCACGACCUGGACCCGGAUAAGCGGAGGAAAAUGGAUGGAUGGAUGUACUUUUAAACACGCAAUUUAAAUCCAUUAAUGGUUUUUCUGUAAUUCACUUUAAUGCUCGAAGCUUACAAGCAAACUGUGAAAAUAAAGAACAAAAUCUGACACUUCUUGACAGUUCCUCUGAUGUCAUAGCAAUCUCUGAAACUUGGCAUACAGAUAAUAAUUUGGGAAACAA